GAGGCAAAUACUACAUUUUGGCGACGGGCUGAAUCGGAAGCCAACAAUGACAACACCAUCGCUGGCGCUUGAAAAGUUUGACUGCGAGGGUGAUAUCAAUUCUGUAUGUACACGAUGGGAACGUUGGAAGAGGAGUUUGUACAUUUACCUGGAAGCGGCAGGUGUUAAGACUGCUGCUAAAAAACGAGCAAGUUUGCUACAUUGGGGGGGAACUGAACUACAGGAAAUAUUUUUUAAUAUACCAGGGGCAGAUAUAACAUCAGAGGAGUCCGGGGAGCAGGAUGUAUUCCAGGUGGCAAUUGAAAAAUUGGACAGUUAUUUUGCACCUAAGCAAAAUAAAAGAUUUGAACGGCAUACCUUCAGACAAAUUAAGCAAGAAAAUAAUGAAAAAUUUGAAAAGUUUUUGGUGCGCCUUAGACAACAAGC
Molecule: long non-coding RNA, 426 nt
Organism: Cydia amplana
Lineage: Eukaryota; Metazoa; Arthropoda; Insecta; Lepidoptera; Tortricidae
Exons: 2
Source: RefSeq, a predicted model, not a curated record